RNAcentral lists this long non-coding RNA (5943 nucleotides) under Lactuca sativa (garden lettuce). RNAcentral's name for it is "long non-coding RNA (LSAT_LNC003316)". The record is from RNAcentral. Lineage: Eukaryota; Viridiplantae; Streptophyta; Magnoliopsida; Asterales; Asteraceae.
CAGGAAACAUAUUGCUAUUUUUUGUGCAUAAAACAUUUUAAACAACGAAUAAAAAAAUAAACACAAAUGUGCUCUUGUUGAACCUCUUAGUCCUUUUGAAGUGAAAUUAAAUAUUAUUUGAUAUCAAACAAAUUCAUAAAUACAACAAAAGAUUACAACAGGUUUUUUGUAUAUGUUCAUCCCGAGUUUUACUGAAUAAUUACAAAUUAGUGUUUAUAAAGAUAAUGUGUUGAAUUAAAGUAAGUCUAUGUAUGUUUUGAAAAUAUCAUAUAGUUUUACUGCUUUUUGUCAUGUGUUUCUUCGUCCACUUCGCUGUGGUUUUUGUAUUUCAUUCAUUUGGGACAUGAUGUUUUCUGUGUAGUAUCUGUGAAAUGGAUAGAUGUUGGUUAAGUGUUGGCUAUAAAUAAAAAGCUAUAUUUUAGUCAUACCUGGAUGUUCUAAUUGGAGGCAUUUUCCUGUUUCACAUGAUUUAGUAGGGGUGAAGGACUCCAUAUUUGUAGUGGUUUGUUGGUCCAUUGUUGUCGAAGGUGUAGUUGGUGGUCUUCUAGUUGAAUUGAUAGUUGGUUGUGGACUUUUUAUAUCAUUGGUUGUGGUGACUAUGAAACGGAUAUUUUUAGUUGAUGGAAGUUUUGUGCAUUGUACAAAAACAUUCUUUGUCAACCCUUUAAAACGUUGCAGUGGUUCCGGUAAAGUCAGUGGUCAAAAUUACACACACUGGAACAAUUCCCACAAUCAUAAUAAACAUGCAAACUUGGUGUCUCUUCUAAAAGUGAACUCUUGCAUGAACGACGGGGGACUAUCGUAUUGGAAGUAGAAGCCAUUUGUCGUCGUUUUGGAGGCAUCACAAGAAGGCAUUUACUGAAAUGGAAAUCCAAAUUUCAUUGACUUGUAACAUACUUUUUAUGUAAUUCAUAUGGAACAUUAGAUUCUAAAAAGGUGUAGUUGAAAGUAACUAUUAUGAUUAGUAACUAACUUAUGGAGUAUAUAUUAAAUAACAUUUGGAAGAGAUUAAUAACAUACUCUAUUAUUGUUUUAACCCAUGGAUUCAUUGAACAUCAAAGAUAAGAAAUAUAUUUGCAACAACAAAAUUAGUCAUUAAUCAACUGAUAAUGGUAUAUAUUCAACUAAAGCUUGUAAAUAGGAUAAAAUUGAAAAAAUGACCAUUCUAUUAAAAUUUAUGCCUAAAGGACCAUUAUUGUAAUUGAGUAUUGAUUUAGGACCAAAUUAGUAAACUUAUGUACACAAAACAUAUUCAGUGAAAGGGUUAAAGACAACUUACCAAAUUUCUAAAGAUCCAAGGUAGAAUUGAAUAUUAGAUUCCUUAUCACAAAAUGUUUAUAAUUUUUAUAUUAACAUAAAUUCAUGAGAAACCAAAGGGUGUUAAAAUGUCUAACUUGCAGAGGCAAUGAAGAAAGAGAGAAAAAUUGAAAUUGAAUAUGGACAGAAAUCAAUAUCAAAUACAAAGGAUAGACAACAUACCUAGAAAUUCAAAUUGUAAUUGAGUGUAGUCGGUUGAAGGCGGAUACAAAGCAGAACCGUUUGUUGGCGACAAAAACGUCAAACCUAGAAUGAAAACUUAAACGUAUUGAGUUGGAAAUGAAGAAAUUUAUAUGAAAAUGGAACAGAAAAUCAAUAUGAUAUAAUUGCGAUAUAGUAUAGACGAGGUAGGCGUCUAGGAGUAUGACUAAAGAAGUAUUUCAAAAAUCAGUAAUAUUUAAAGAGAAAAUUUUAAAUUGACAUACCUUAUUAAUUGGAAUUGUUGGAUUCCUAGUUGUAAGUGCUCGAAGAUAAAGACGGUGGAAACGUCAAACACAGAUUUUGUAAUCAAAGAAAGAACGAAUUAAUAUGAUGGUGUUGGGAAUUUGCACAUAUUCACAAAGAUUAGAGAAAGUUGUUAUGUAUUGAAAGCAAGAAAGAGUUCACAAUUGACAUACCUUAUGAGUCGUAAUUGUUUGAGUCCAAAUUCUAAGUGCUUGGAGAAAAAGAUGGUGGUUGAGAGGCUCUGAAACGAAGUAGGACUAAUUAAUUUUAAACUAAAACAUGAAUAAAGUUCAAAUUUAGCACUAACUUUAUGAUGAACUCAACUAAAAACAUAGAAAGAAAAAUGAUACAUUUUACAAAUUAUAAAAAUAUAAACAAAAACAAUAGAAGGAACAAACACAAAAAGACGACACAAAAAAAGAUGUAAACAAAAAAUCAAAAUCAAAUAAAAACAUUAUAUGACCUACCGAAAUUCAAAAAUACAACAAAGAGCACAUGCUGUUUGUGGUGGUAAUUGAGCACCGACGGUCAAACCCACAAAGUCGAAGACAUCGCUCAAAAACACGGAAGGAUUAGAAGGAAUAGCAAUUGAAUUGAAAAUCACAAUAUAAUUGAUACAUUAUACGACAUACCAUAAUUCGUCAUAGAAACAAAUAGAAAUUCGUAGCCUUCAACAUACCAGAAUUUGUCACAGCAAUAGAUAGAUAUUCCUAGUCUCCUUAUAUCAUUAAUGAAAAUCCUGAAAUAAGAUUUCAGAAUUCCAGUUACCAAAUAUUAGAGUAAACAUAAAAAGUUAAAGGGGUUAUUUUGUCAUUAUUAAAGUGUUUUUAACACAUUUGACUAAUAUACAAAGAAUAAGUACUCAAUUAGAAAAUUAUUCUUCAUGAUGCAAGAAAUAUUAUGUUUUUCUUUUAUUCAACUUUUGUCGCUAACAUACAACACAAUACAAAAAAAAAAUGGUUCACUAUGGGAUUUCCAGGGUAUUUGUUGACUCACCUUCUUUUAUAAUGUCAAAAUUAGCAUUCUUUAUGAUAAAUGACCAAUGAUUCCAUCUACUAUUGUAAAAGCUUUAGUCUUUUUGAUAAAUAACCAAUAAUAUAUGGGUGGUGAGUCCUAGAUUAUACAAAUUCUUAUUUAGGGUGCAUUCUUUUGAACGCUUUUGGAAGUUUCUUCAGAUAACCGUAUCAGGGUUUUUUUUUUCAGUUUAUGGUUGUUUUACAACUUACUUUAGUUGUCAUUUGACCUUUUUGCCCCUGUGAGGCUGUGGCUUACCUGGUUUUUGUUCCAAUCUUGAUUGCAGUAUACACCUGCUGUUGAUACACUUAGAUGCAAGCCAAGUUAACUACACCAGAGAUUAAGAUAAUGACUAUUUGUAUAGAAAUUUUACUUUGUGGUGAAAAGAGUCGUUUUGUAUUUUUUUUUUUGGAAAUUGGCCAUUAACUGUUACUGUGUGUGGGUGUUUCGGGCUAAGAUAUUGAUUUAUCUGUUUGUGUAUUUUAUCCCUUCUUUCAUAGUUCUUUUUGUUGAAAAGAGUCGUUUUUUUGUUUAUAUGCAAUCAUUUUUUUUCUUUAACAUAUAGUAAUAAAUACAAUUAGUUAAACACGUUAAGCAUGCCUUUAGUCGUAUUAUGUAUCCAAUUGUAUCGAAUCAAAUCAUCCUAAUAUUACAUUAAACGCUUUUGGUCUUAAAUGAGUCAGAGGAAACUUUUGUUUAUACUUGAAUGAGUGAAUUAUUUGAGACUAAAAUCUGAUGGAAUGGCGUUUUAACAUUGAAAAGAAUUUGCUCUUCUUUUCUUCACAUGAAUUGAUGAUCAACAGCAUUUGUAUGAGAGUGUUUUGAAAUGAGAGCAUAGAUUCUUGUCAUUACAAUUUGUAAAACCUCUCUUAAUCAUUACAUAAAUAAUUUGAAAUAGCUUCGAGUUAUUGACUCUUUGUUGGAUUCACAACUUUAGGGUUAGUUGGGGUGACAAAUUAUGUUCAUUCUUACGAUGUUCUGACCAGGAAAUGGACCAGGUAGUUCUAAUUCGUUCUUAUAUUUGACUUAACUUUUCUAGAAGUCAAUGCUAAUGCUUUUUUUUUCAGAAUUCGACAAGCUGGAGAACCACCUUCACCCAGGGUUGCUCAUGCAGCUGCUGUUGUUGGAACAAUGGUUGUAUUUCAGGUAACCAUAAUUAUGAACUAAAGUGAAAAAAGGAGAUCUUUUAGCCAUUUAUCUGAUUUUUGGUUUUUGAUAAACCGAUUGUGCAUGAUUAGGGCGGCAUUGGUUGAUAAAAUAAUAAAUAUUAAGAUUCUUUCUCCAUUUCGAGGAGGUGUCUCGCAUGUGUGGACUUCCCUUUAACUUUUACUUAAUUAAGUAAUUAAGCUAUAUAGACUAUUACUAAGUUGAUAACAUCUAGGUUUUGGAACAAUUAUAUAUAUAAAAGCCUUUAUCGUUCUAUUCCUCAUGUCCUUGAUCCAUGAUCUUUGUUUGUUUUCUAAACAACUAUUUCUAUAACUUAACUUUUACAAUACUGUUAAAUUGAACUAAUAAAUUAACAAAAUAGAAGGUUAUAUAAUAAUGCAACUUUUGACAUUGUUGUUGUUUUUAUAUGUAGGAUCCUAAACAUGGACACUGGUGGCUACAAUUUGGAUCAGGGGUGCUAAUAGGAUAUUGGCCAUCUUUUUUUAUUCAGUCAUCUACAAAAAGAAGCAAGUAUGAUACAAUUUGGAGGGGAGAUAGUGAACACAAGAUCAGGGGGUAUCACACAUCAACUCAAAUUGGAAGUGGCCAUUUUGCAGAUGAAGGUUUUGGAAAAGCUUCAUACUUUAGGAAUUUACAGGUUGUUGAUUGGGACAACAGUUUGCUUCCUUUAACAAAUCUCCAUGUAUUAACUGAUAAUCCAAAUUGUUACAAUAUAAAAGCCGGAAAAAAUAAUGUUUGGGCGAAUUGUAUUUAUGAUGGAGGUCCAGGAAGGAAAGGAGGUUGUCAAUAGAGAAAAUUGCAUAGUAGUAACAAUAUUUUUAUUUACAUUAUUAAUUCUUUCCCUCUAGAGGAUUUUUGGAAUUUUUUGUCUAAAAAAGAUCCCUUUUUAAGUUUUAUUUGUAGUAGGUUGCCAUAAUUAAGCCAUGUUAAUGAGGGCUCUUGUAUAUUAGCGUUAGGGGUAGUAACUGAUUUUAUAAUGUAUUAUGGUUUGUAUUUCGUAAUGUGGUGAUUUGAUUUUUCAUUAUAACAGCAAACAAUAACCUAACAACAAAAUAAAUAGCCUACCUUGACAACAUAUAUAGGUGGAACUUUUGCACUUUAUUCUUCAAUAUGCGGACAUGCUAAAGUAAGCCUUUUACCAAAUCAACAAACUGCUGAUGAAUCACUGUGUACAUAUAAAUUCAAGCAAUCUAAUGAUGGGAAAUAUUGUCUAGAGGGUUUCGUAACUUUAAUUUCACAGAGUAGGAAAGACAAUCAAAAUCAUAUGACGGAGAACAUACCAAGAAUUGAAAUUGCAAUUGAGUGUAGAUUAUUGGAGGCGGCAACAGAAGGCGUCGUCGGAGAUGUCAAACCCAUAUUUGAAAUCCUAAUUUAUUGAUAGAGAAGCCGUAGGAGAUCUCAAAUCCACACAGUCGGAAAACAGAAAAAGAAGAGGAGUCUGAAGAUUUUGGAGAAACGUAUAAAAACGAUGAUGGAGGAAUAUUCUCUAGACGAUUUCAUAACUUCAAUUUCACAGAGUCGGAAUAUAAGAAAAAAGCAAAUUCGAGAUUGAAACAAAAUCAAUAUCGAAUAGAACAAAACAUACCCAGACAUCAAAUUUCAAUUGAUUGUGGAUGGUUGGAGGCAGCAACAACCGUUUUUUGGCAAGAAAUUGAAACUUAGACAGAAAAUCAAAAUCGAAUAGAAGAAAACAUACCCAGACUUCAAAUUUCAACUGAUUGUAGAUGGUUGGAGGCAGCAACAACCGUUUUUUGGCAAGAGAAGUUGAAAUUCUAAGUUCUUGAUUGAUAAGGUGUAUGAGAUGUCAAACCCAUAAUUCAAAUUCGGAAUUGUUGAUUGAGAAGCGUAUUCAGAAUUCUUGAUUGAGAAGCGUAUGAGAUGUCAAGAAGAGAAGUCUGAAGAAAUGGUAGAAACUUAUGGAAGCGAUCAUGGGGGUAAAAUUUUAAAAGUGUUGAUUGUUAUGGAGAAUUUGGAGAAACCUAAUGUGGCGAAACUCUAAAC